CUACGGGAGGCACCAGUGAGGAAUAUUGCACAAUGGGGGGAACCCUGAUGCAGCAACGCCGCGUGGAGGAUGACGCAUUUCGGUGUGUAAACUCCUUUUAUAUGUCAAGAAAAUGACGGUAGCAUAUGAAUAAGCACCCGCUAACUCCGUGCCAGCAGCCGCGGUAAUACGGAGGGUGCAAGCGUUACUCGGGAUCACUGGGCGUAAAGGACGCGUAGGCGGGUUGGAAAGUCAGGUGUGAAAUCCUACAGCUUAACUGUAGAACUGCACUUGAAACUUCUAAUCUAGAGUAUGGGAGGGGGAGAUGGAAUUAGUGGUGUAGGGGUAAAAUCCGUAGAUAUCACUAGGAAUACCUAAAGCGAAGGCGAUCUCCUGGAACAUUACUGACGCUAAGGCGUGAAAGCGUGGGGAGCAAACAGGAUUAGAUACCCCUGUAGUC
Molecule: ribosomal RNA, 439 nt
Filed under: uncultured bacterium
Lineage: Bacteria
Description: partial 16S ribosomal RNA
Rfam family: Bacterial small subunit ribosomal RNA
Source: RNAcentral